RNAcentral lists this transfer RNA (72 nucleotides) under Camelus ferus (Wild Bactrian camel). It matches the Rfam family "tRNA". Rfam says of the family: Transfer RNA (tRNA) molecules are approximately 80 nucleotides in length. Their secondary structure includes four short double-helical elements and three loops (D, anti-codon, and T loops). Further hydrogen bonds mediate the characteristic L-shaped molecular structure. tRNAs have two regions of fundamental functional importance: the anti-codon, which is responsible for specific mRNA codon recognition, and the 3' end, to which the tRNAs corresponding amino acid is attached (by aminoacyl-tRNA synthetases). tRNAs cope with the degeneracy of the genetic code in two manners: having more than one tRNA (with a specific anti-codon) for a particular amino acid; and 'wobble' base-pairing, i.e. permitting non-standard base-pairing at the 3rd anti-codon position. Lineage: Eukaryota; Metazoa; Chordata; Mammalia; Artiodactyla; Camelidae. The record is from Rfam by way of RNAcentral.
GAGGGUAUAGCUCAGUGGUGGGGCGUGUGUUUAGCAUGCACAAGGUCCUGGGUUCAAUCCCCAGUACCUCCA